This is a non-coding RNA of Myotis davidii, 76 nucleotides long. The record is from Rfam. Lineage: Eukaryota; Metazoa; Chordata; Mammalia; Chiroptera; Vespertilionidae.
GGUGGUUCUCAGGUGAUGCACCCCGGGACCAGAGAGGAGGGAGCCUGAUUCCGGGGUGCGACACCCGAGAACCGCU